This 22-nucleotide transfer RNA is filed under the name Neoachmandra cunninghamii. RNAcentral's name for it is "partial tRNA-Phe". RNAcentral also lists the same sequence under 1 other name. The record is from RNAcentral. Lineage: Eukaryota; Viridiplantae; Streptophyta; Magnoliopsida; Cucurbitales; Cucurbitaceae.
CUCAGUUGGUAGAGCAGAGGAC